RNAcentral lists this ribosomal RNA (427 nucleotides) under Myrmeleon hyalinus. RNAcentral describes it as "partial 16S ribosomal RNA". It matches the Rfam family "Archaeal large subunit ribosomal RNA", at positions 1996 to 2622 of the family's 2987-position model. Lineage: Eukaryota; Metazoa; Arthropoda; Insecta; Neuroptera; Myrmeleontidae. The record is from RNAcentral.
AAUUUUGAAGGGCCGCAGUAUUCUGACUGUGCAAAGGUAGCAUAAUCAUUUGCCUUUUAAUUAAAGGCUCGUAUGAAUGGUUGAACGAAAUACAAACUGUCUCACUCUAAAAAGUUUAAAAAUUUAGCUUUCAAGUCAAAAGGCUUGAAUAAUAUUAGAGGACGAGAAGACCCUAUAGAACUUUAUAAUAUUUUUUGUGAAUUUACAUAGUAAAAUAUUUUUUAUUUAUAAAUAUUAUUAUUUUGUUGGGGUGACAGGAAAAUAAGCAAAACUUUUUUGAAUUUUGAACAUUGAUUUAUGAAUAUUUGAUCCAUUAUUAGUGAUUAUUAGAAUAAGUUACCUUAGGGAUAACAGCGUAAUUUUGUUGGAGAGUUCAAAUCGAUAACAAAGUUUGCGACCUCGAUGUUGAAUUAAAGAAAUUUUAGAG